CACAUUUUUAAUAUUUUACAAAAACUAAAAAUUGAAAACAGCAAAUCAAAUACACUCUAAAAUACAUGAAAACAUAAACGAAGAUCAGGAUGAGAUAAAAUUUACAAUGUGAAAAUAAGAAAUUUAUAAUUGAAAAUGAGUGGUCACAAAAUAGUUGAUCAAGGAAGCAGCGGAACAGCCAAACACCUACGCUCUUUUUUCCUUGGUUAAAUUCCCUCUCACUUGCUGUCCGUAGCACUAACACGCACGGUGAUGGUGAACCUGGUUGCAGCUCUAAGGUCACUGUUGUAUGGCCUGGUGAAAAUGGCCGGGAUUCGACCUCACACAAUCGAGAUCGAACCAGGCACGGUUCUGAGCAUUUGGGUCCCCUCUGAAACAAUCCAAAAGCCAAAAAAAUCUAAAACCACUGAGGCCUCCGCCGACUCCACUGCCAAACCAACAAAACCCGUGGUGGUACUGGUGCACGGCUUUGCGGCCGACGGCAUUGUCACCUGGCAAUUCCAGGUGGGUUCAUUGACAAAAAAGUACUCAGUUUACGUGCCGGACCUGCUCUUUUUCGGCGGUUCAAUCACGGACAGCUCCGACAGGUCGCCGACGUUUCAGGCGGAGUGUCUGGCCAAGGGGCUGAGGAAGUUGGGGAUUGAAAAGUGCACGGUGGUUGGAUUUAGCUACGGCGGUAUGGUUGCGUUUAAGAUGGCGGAAUUGUACCCUGAUUUGGUGGAGGCACUGGCGGUUUCUGGUUCAGUUGUGGCUAUGACGGACUCCAUUAGCCGUGCAACAUUUAGCAGACUUGGGUUCAAUUCAUCGGCGGAGCUUUUGUUGCCGACCACCGUUAAGGGCUGCCGGGCACUUCUCAAAGUUGGAGCUCAUAAGAAGCUUUGGUUCCCUGAUCGGUUCCAUAAGGACUUUCUUGAGGUUAGUUGCGAUAUACAAGCCAUAUAGUUCUUUAUAUAUACACGGAUUUGAUCUAAUAAGUACCUGUGCCAUACUCAGGUGUCAAACUACAAUGGGUGAUGUAAUUAAUUUUAAAUCUAACCAUUAUCAUUCACCACUAUUGUAGUGUGCCACGCAACUCGAUACUUAAUAUAAGCUAAAUAUCGAUGCUUAAAAGAUCAUGACUUAGUAUAUAUAUGAACACCAUAUGCGGCCAAGGGGUGUAGCAGCCCUGGACGGUCCAAAAUUAGGAUGGUCUAGCCCGUCAUGGAUGUAGAUUUCAUCAACCUUGGCAGUAUAGUUCACGGUCGAUACAUCUUAAUUAUAUGAAAUAGAAUUUAGCAAAAAGAAAUAAAAAAAUCUCGAAUCCUCCUGAAAUAUGGAUUUGGCUCUUGAAUAAGUGCAAGUAUACAAGCAGCCUUCCACUCUGUACCCUUGGAAAUAUAACCUGCGAUUUACCUCCCUCACGAUACUCCAGGGUAGGGGUAGUGGAGGACCUUUAAGGUUAGGAUUUAACCUUUUUUUUUUUUUUUUUUUGAUAUGUAAUAGGUCAAAUCACGGCUGCCAAGUCUAUAUCAAGGGCUUCACUACACUAAUAUAGAGGUUGACAUAGGAGAUAAUCGAAAACACACAUGGAGGGUCAGCAUUUUUUAGUUCAUGCGGGACCCACUGCAAAAAAAAAUGUAACGAUUGAUCACCCUUUUUGUCAACCAAUUCGAUCACUUUAACUUACUUCCUAUAUCAAUUCGGUUGACAUCACAAAUCAUGUGAAUGAUAAUCGCUUGUAGUAUAGUCACGUCAUGACUUCACAUUUGAAAUUACUUUUUCUCGUAUCCCGAUUUUAUGUGCUGAAAUAUUAAAACAUUAGUAGAAAAUAAUGGAAGGAAAAGGACUACAAAUCUCAACUUACGGUUUAUUAACAUGAUAUGUUCAUACUUGCCCACUUAAUUGGACAAAUAGAUUUCAUUUUGAAAGAGAUUUAAAUAAAAUAUUUGUUCAUUUGCUUUAUUCGAUCUUGGGAAUAUAGGCACAGAAACUGAGUCAAAUAUAUAGUUGUCUUUUUACCUCAUCAUCAAGGAGACAUCAACCACGUAAAUGCUAUACGUGAACUGGUCGCCUCUUCUUUCCCUAAUGUCACUGAAAGAAAAAGAAAAAUAAAUGAUUAUGCUUCAAUUUGACUACAUUUGAGAUAUAAAUAAAUUUCGAUAACUAUGGGUCAGUUUGAUUAGAAGCAUGGAAUUUGCAUGGUAAGAAAAUAAAUUUUAGACAAUUUAAUUGACCAUAACUUAUUUGCAUGAAAAUUGUCAAUUAAAUGUGUUUGAUUGAUUUAAUUUUUAACCUAGAAAAUAUUAUACUUGUCUUUUUUUAUUGGUGGGUAGAUGAAAGAUAAUUGAAAGAUGGAAGAAAGUGAAUUCCUUAGAAAAUAAAAUCUUAUUCCUCCUAAAGAAAAUAUUUUUCUUGAUUUUGAAUAAAAUAUGAUCACGUAACCAAAAGUAGGAAAGUAUUUUCUAUUAAAAAUAAUGUCAAAUAUAAUAGCACAAAAGUAGGAAUUUAAGUGAAAAACACAUUUUCUAUGAAAAAUAUUGACAAUCAAAUGCAAGAGUUCUUAACUUGAUAUUAAAAUGUUAAAUGUACAGCUCUAAUGUAUACUUAGUUUGACAGCCCUCUCACAUGGGUGUCCUGCGAUUAUUUUAAUCGCAAGCUCCACCCUCUUCAUGUGAGAAGACCGUCAAAGAAGGUGUACAAUAUGCUAUACACCUAGCACAUUUCUUAAUCGAAUGACGUAUUUGAAAAACUAGUUACAUAAUGGUUGGUAUAAAUAUAAAUAAAAUUAAUAUUUUUUCAACAGUUUAACUUUUAAAUAGAAUUUUUGAAUUGUUCAAGUUUCACCACAACUCGAUCAUAAAAUUUACGUAUAGACUUUGAUAGCAAAAAUUUGAAUUCGUGUUGCACGGAUGGAAAAUGUUGAAAAUAUAAUUAUAAAUAAAUAUAUCUUUAUAAAAAAAAUAAAAAAAGAAAAAGGAGAACAUAAUGGGUUUGGUUGCUCACUUUCAAUUACCGACUCAAGUGAUUCAGGGGCUUUCUCAAUUUAGAUUGUGAUUGAUUUUAAAAAUCCUUCUAAAUUUAGGUGUCAUCAAUUGAAUUCUAAUGAAAUCCGUUAAAAUUUAGGUGUCCCAAUUAAAAUUUAAAUAAAAUUCAAUGAAAGCCUCAAAAAUUUAUGUAUCCUCAAUAACAACUGAAUUAUAAGGAUUUCUUUAAUACGAGGAUUUUAAAUGAUUUGGAUGAAUUUCAAGUUUAAAAAUACAUAUAAUCAAAUCUUUAAAAUUUCACUAUAUUUCAUGAUAUUCUUAUGAGAUCUAUGAAAAUCUAUUCAAAUCUAUGAAAUUCAUUGGGAUUUAUAAUCUCUUAAAAUCUAUCAAAAUCUUAAUUAAGGACACCCUGAACGAGCUAGGCUGUAUGUCAUCUUCAAUCAAUAACGCUAAGGGAGGCCGGUUUAUUCGUCAAUUAAAUUUAACAAGUCCAAGCUUAGCCUAGACCUUGAACCGGGUAAAAACUACUAGUGCUCCACUCCGGUUCAUGGCCGGCUUGUUUCGAUAUGUCCACAUACCCUUUAUGACAGAAUUUGAAUAACUUUUUAAAUUUUUUUUAUUAUUAAUUUAAGUUUAAAAUGAUGUGGUUUAACUUGAUAUUGAUGAUAGGUGAUGUUCAACAACAGAAAAGAAAGGGGAGAAUUGCUGGAAGGUCUUGUGGUUAGUAACAAAGAUACUAACAUCCCACAUUUUCCACAGGUGUAUAUUUCACCAUAGGCUUUUAAACUAAUUAUUUUUAAUUACUUUUCACCCAAAUUUUGAGGUCUUUUUUACGGAGGAUACAUCUUCUUUUGGGUGAGAAUGAUCAGAUUUUCAAGCUGGAAGUUGCACGGAAAAUGAAAGAGGAAGUUUUAACAUGUCCUUCAAUAUGGCUAUACUAAUCUUAAAUUCUGACGGCUUGUUAACAUUUUCGAUGGAAUUGAUUCUUAGGCCUAGGCAUUGUUGGGAAUCUAUU
This 3978-nucleotide long non-coding RNA is filed under the name Olea europaea subsp. europaea. Lineage: Eukaryota; Viridiplantae; Streptophyta; Magnoliopsida; Lamiales; Oleaceae. The record is from RNAcentral.